Long non-coding RNA from Mus musculus (house mouse), 2767 nucleotides. RefSeq annotates it as predicted gene, 40270. NCBI's taxonomy places the organism in Eukaryota, Metazoa, Chordata, Mammalia, Rodentia, Muridae. The record is from RefSeq and is a predicted model, not a curated record. The transcript has 3 exons.
AGCGGCGACAAAGGGCAAUAUUCACAGUUUAUCUCAGGGUGAUGGAUCUGAAUGGACGCAUGAACACGGGUUUGUUAGAGAAAGAGCUGGCCACAGCCCCCCGCCGGGAACCCAGUGGCCGCAGUCUGCAGUGCAAACAGUCAGUCUAAAUCCUGAACAAUUAGGGGAAACCAAGCUGCCUUUAUCUGAACUUCAACUUGUUCUCAUGAUUGAUAUGGGAAAUGAAAAGUUGUACAAGGCUCGGGAAGGGUCUGCUGGCCCUGGCUGCACGCAGGGCCGCGGAGAAGGUGUGUGAUGUGUAUUUCAUAUACAGAGUGGAAGCUGCCCGCCACCCAGCUAGUGCAUCAGGAUGUGUAGGUCUGAGCAGGCACCUCAGACUGCUUCAGAGAGUUGGAUGGGGGCGUCUGUAAGCAAGAAGAGGAAUGCAGACACCCAAUGUACGAUGUUCACUUCAAGGGGAGGUACAGUGGCACUUACACCUCAGAGACUUAAGUCUCUUCCUCAGGGAGCAAUGAGGAAGCUGUUUGUUGAGAGGAAUCACAUGACAGAAGGAAAGGAUGUGGCACAAGGACGAACUGGGCAUGGAAAGAUGGUAAUGUUUAUGUGCCCACCGGUGGGAAGGAAAGACCUUGUUCUAUGCUGUAGAAAAUGCACAAAGGUUCGGACAUUGUGGGCACGGGGGCCUCCUGGCUGAAGUGCAGGGUUUGUGGAAGGGGAGGUGAGAGGCUGGAGAAAUGAGCAGCUCUUCAAAGCCCUUCACACUGAGGUAAAGAUCCGCCUUUCACCCUGUAGGGAAUGGGAAGCAGCUAUCCUGGAGUUGGGGGCUACCUUCUCAUCUGUUCACUGAAGAGAGCUCCUGAGACUCUGGCCUGAUUGGACUGGUGCAGUGGUACACGGGCUUGUCCCAUGCAGACCCAACAAGGCUCAGUGACACAUUCGAUGUGGGAGAGAGGUCAAAGGUGACAAAGGUUGUGAGCCUUUGACUCCAACACUCAUCCAUCCAUUAAUGAAACUUCGGACUCCUUACCAAAAUUCCACAGGAUAGCCCACUCGUUGCCAGGAACUUACAUAAUCAAUCACUUCAUUACACGGUAUACUUCCAGGGAGAGAACUAGAGGGCGUGCGUACCUUCCAAGAAGCUCACAUGGGAACUGUUCACAGUUGUACUUUACAGAGAUGGAAUUGGAUGCCACCAUUCCCUCAUCUUCACAGAGGGGGAAACUGAGGCUCAGGACAAUUAAGUGGUUGAUUUGCCCAAACCUGAGCUGGGAUUUGGACUGGGUGCUGACGACAAAGCCCUUCACUGUCCUUUAUGCUAAAUGCCUCUGGUGAAGCUGGCUGGGAGGCUCGCAGGCCACGGCACAAAAAGAUCGGCGCUCAGGCCACUCUCUGAAACAGACUUCCAAGAACCCUCUUCAAAGCAGCCUGAGGCAUUCAGCUCUGCCCGGCAUUCACUGUGGAAGUAUUUCCUUUGUCCCCACCAUCAGAGGUAAGUGACAUCUUGAACAGCUCAGGAAGAUUAAAUAGCCCGGCUCCCUCGGAAAGCUUAAGAAAAGAGUGAGAGAAAGAGAGAGGGAGAGAGAGAAGAAAGGGGCCACGCCGGCCAUUAUGGAGCCGCCUCCCCCACCCCUUUUCUGUGAAAGAGCUCCCAAGAAGCGCCAUUGGAAGAAGCAGGCGCAGAUAAGACUACAAUGACAGAGAGCCCGAGAAUACGGAUUACUGCAGCUUGGAGCAGCUGAAGAAAAGGAGAAUCCCAGUCAGGAUGGAAGUGAGGAAUUCCUUUUUUCCCCCUUCCCCUCCAAGACUCCAGUUCACUGCGCAACAACAAUGCGAGGUGGGGGGCACUUGACAUGCCCCUCUUCCAGGCCAUGUUGGCGCCCCAUGUGGGGCUCCCGGGGAACAAGGGCGGUGCAAACCCAAACAAAGCCGGUUUUAACCCAAUAAACUCACCCCACAUUCUCAAAUAGAAAUGCCAAAAGCUUGGGCUUGCCGAGUACCCAUCCAUGGCCCAAACACACGGGACAAACAAGGCCUUGGGCAGGGCGUGUUUGAACAGCAAAAUUCACCUUCUGUAAUGCUUGCUGCCUUUUUUGUUUUGCUUCAAUGAAAGGAAGACUUUGGAUCCUGCUAGCAGUUGGCAAGACUUAGGAAAGAACUGUUUUCCUGAGAUGGUGAUUCUUCUUGUUGCUGAUGGUGGUGUGGUGUGGAGGAUGGAACUUGGGGCUUCGUUCACUCCUUAACAAGCACUGCACCAAUGUCUCUUCUUAAACAUACACUAUCCUAUUUCAUCCCAAACCACACCCUUGGACACUCAACACUCACUUGAGAAAUGUGCCUAAAGGCCUUUAGACUGCAGAUGUCUCUGUGUAACAACCCUGGGUGUCCUGGAACUCUAUAGACCAGGCUGCCUUUGAACUCUGAGAUCUGCUUGCUUCUGCCUCCUGAGUGCUGAGAUUAAAGAUGUGUACCACCACCGACCAGCUAACAAAUAAUGUUACGGCUGGGGUCAGCACGGCAUGAGAAACUGCAGUAAAGGGUCAGCAUUAGGAAGGCUGAGGACCACUGCUCCCAGUACUCUGUUGCUUGUAAGACGCAGCCAGCAGCUUACUUAAUGCCUUCUCUACAUCUUCACAGUGCAUAACCCUAGCAAGAAUUCCGUGUGAAUGAAGCGUGCCAAGUCUGGUUUCUCAGGGGUGGGGGUGGGGGAUGUAGAGUAAAGCAAUAUUGCCACAGUGUUCAAACUGUAAAUGCACUUUUUUUUCAAACA